RNAcentral lists this ribosomal RNA (252 nucleotides) under uncultured soil bacterium. Its description in RNAcentral is "partial 16S ribosomal RNA". It matches the Rfam family "Bacterial small subunit ribosomal RNA", at positions 26 to 287 of the family's 1533-position model. The record is from RNAcentral.
AGGAUGAACGCUGGCGGCGUGCUUAACACAUGCAAGUCACGGGGGCCCAGCAAUGGGCAACCGGCGAACGGGUGCGUAACACGUGAGCAACCUACCUAAGUGAGGGGGAUAGCCGGCCCAACGGCCGGGUAAUACCGCAUACGCUCGAAUUGAGGCAUUUUGAUUCGAGGAAACCUACGGGGCACUAUGAGGGGCUCGCGGCCUAUCAGCUAGUUGGUGAGGUAACGGCUCACCAAGGCGACGACGGGUAGC